This 444-nucleotide ribosomal RNA is filed under the name Chlamydiales bacterium CR270612-8. RNAcentral describes it as "bacterial LSU rRNA". It matches the Rfam family "Bacterial large subunit ribosomal RNA", at positions 1 to 453 of the family's 2925-position model. The record is from RNAcentral. Lineage: Bacteria; Pseudomonadati; Chlamydiota; Chlamydiia; Chlamydiales.
AGAAAUUAAGGGUUGUAGGAGGAUGCCUUGGCAUCAACAGGCGAUGAAGGACGCGUAAACCUGCGAUAAUCCUCGGUGAGCUGGAAUUAGCUUUGACCCGAGGGAUUCCGAAUGGGGGAACCCAACAAGAGUAAAGUCUUGUUAUCCUAAACUGAAUACAUAGGUUUAGGAGGCGAUACCUGCUGAAGUGAAACAUCUCAGUAAGCAGAGGAGUAGAAAUCAACCGAGAUUUCCUUAGUAGCGGCGAGCGAACGGGAAAUAGCCCAAACCGAGAGAUUUUCUUUCGGGGUUGUAGGACCGACAUAAAGAUGUUUUUUUCUUAGUUGAAUAACCUGGAAAGGUUGACGAGACACGGUGAUAGUCCGGUAAACGAAAAGAAAAAAACACAAGUUGGUAUCCUGAGUAGGGCCGAGCACGUGAAACUCCGUCUGAAUCUGGGGGAGA